This 26-nucleotide non-coding RNA is filed under the name Rattus norvegicus (Norway rat). The record is from RNAcentral. Lineage: Eukaryota; Metazoa; Chordata; Mammalia; Rodentia; Muridae.
AAUGUAAAUAUCUGAGUUGCCAGAUA